GACGAACGCUGGCGGCGUGCCUAAUACAUGCAAGUCGAACGAACUCUGGUAUUGAUUGGUGCUUGCAUCAUGAUUUACAUUUGAGUGAGUGGCGAACUGGUGAGUAACACGUGGGAAACCUGCCCAGAAGCGGGGGAUAACACCUGGAAACAGAUGCUAAUACCGCAUAACAACUUGGACCGCAUGGUCCGAGCUUGAAAGAUGGCUUCAGCUAUCACUUUUGGAUGGUCCCGCGGCGUAUUAGCUAGAUGGUGGGGUAACGGCUCACCAUGGCAAUGAUACGUAGCCGACCUGAGAGGGUAAUCGGCCACAUUGGGACUGAGACACGGCCCAAACUCCUACGGGAGGCAGCAGUAGGGAAUCUUCCACAAUGGACGAAAGUCUGAUGGAGCAACGCCGCGUGAGUGAAGAAGGGUUUCGGCUCGUAAAACUCUGUUGUUAAAGAAGAACAUAUCUGAGAGUAACUGUUCAGGUAUUGACGGUAUUUAACCAGAAAGCCACGGCUAACUACGUGCCAGCAGCCGCGGUAAUACGUAGGUGGCAAGCGUUGUCCGGAUUUAUUGGGCGUAAAGCGAGCGCAGGCGGUUUUUUAAGUCUGAUGUGAAAGCCUUCGGCUCAACCGAAGAAGUGCAUCGGAAACUGGGAAACUUGAGUGCAGAAGAGGACAGUGGAACUCCAUGUGUAGCGGUGAAAUGCGUAGAUAUAUGGAAGAACACCAGUGGCGAAGGCGGCUGUCUGGUCUGUAACUGACGCUGAGGCUCGAAAGUAUGGGUAGCAAACAGGACUAGAUACCCUGGUAGUCCAUACCGUAAACGAUGAAUGCUAAGUGUUGGAGGGUUUCCGCCCUUCAGUGCUGCAGCUAACGCAUUAAGCAUUCCGCCUGGGGAGUACGGCCGCAAGGCUGAAACUCAAAGGAAUUGACGGGGGCCCGCACAAGCGGUGGAGCAUGUGGUUUAAUUCGAAGCUACGCGAAGAACCUUACCAGGUCUUGACAUACUAUGCAAAUCUAAGAGAUUAGACGUUCCCUUCGGGGACAUGGAUACAGGUGGUGCAUGGUUGUCGUCAGCUCGUGUCGUGAGAUGUUGGGUUAAGUCCCGCAACGAGCGCAACCCUUAUUAUCAGUUGCCAGCAUUAAGUUGGGCACUCUGGUGAGACUGCCGGUGACAAACCGGAGGAAGGUGGGGAUGACGUCAAAUCAUCAUGCCCCUUAUGACCUGGGCUACACACGUGCUACAAUGGAUGGUACAACGAGUUGCGAACUCGCGAGAGUAAGCUAAUCUCUUAAAGCCAUUCUCAGUUCGGAUUGUAGGCUGCAACUCGCCUACAUGAAGUCGGAAUCGCUAGUAAUCGCGGAUCAGCAUGCCGCGGUGAAUACGUUCCCGGGCCUUGUACACACCGCCCGUCACACCAUGAGAGUUUGUAACACCCAAAGUCGGUGGGGUAACCUUUUAGGAACCAGCCGCCUAAGGUGGGACAGAUGAUUAGGGUG
This 1489-nucleotide ribosomal RNA is filed under the name Lactiplantibacillus plantarum. RNAcentral's name for it is "bacterial SSU rRNA". It matches the Rfam family "Bacterial small subunit ribosomal RNA". The record is from RNAcentral. Lineage: Bacteria; Bacillati; Bacillota; Bacilli; Lactobacillales; Lactobacillaceae.